Pantherophis guttatus is the source of this 4358-nucleotide RNA transcript. It is a transcript of the gene named kinesin family member 23, with no coding region annotated. Lineage: Eukaryota; Metazoa; Chordata; Lepidosauria; Squamata; Colubridae. The record is from RefSeq and is a predicted model, not a curated record.
GGGGCGGUGCAACGGAUGCUGGGAAGUGGAGGGAACGUUUGAACCGCUCUGGGCGAGAGGUCGGGGCGGCGCGAUGAAGGCGGCGGCAAGAACUAAAACUCCUAGGAAACAUGCAUUUAAAAAAGCAUCUAACAAUAGUUUGAAGGAUCCUGUUGGGGUAUAUUGCCGGGUCCGUCCAGUCGGUGUAUCAAACCAAGAGUGUUGCAUAGAAGUGAUCAGCAGCACGACAGUCCAAGUUCACUCACCUGAUGGGUACCGUAUUGCCCGUAAUGGAGAAUAUAAAGAGGUUCAGUAUUCAUUUAAAGAAGUGUUUAGCACAAGCAUUUCUCAGAAACAUGUAUUUGAUGUGGUUGCUAAACCUCUAGUGGAAGAUCUUAUCCGUGGAAAAAAUGGCCUCCUUUUUACAUAUGGAGUCACGGGGAGUGGAAAAACACACACUAUGACAGGAUCACCUGGUGAGGGAGGUCUGCUUCCUCGUUGCUUGGACAUGAUCUUCAACAGCAUAGCGCCUUUUCAGGCCAAGCGCUACGUCUUCAAACUUGAUGAUAAGAAUGGAGUUGAGGUACAAUGUGAAGUGGAUGCUUUACUUGAACGCCAGAAGAGAGAAGCACUUCCAGUUCCCAAGACACUGGGCAAGCGACAAGUAGACCCUGAAAUUGCUGACAUGAUCAAUGUGCAAGAUAAUUGUAGACUGGAAGAUGUUGAUGAAGACAGUGUCUACAGUGUGUUUGUGUCUUACAUUGAAAUCUAUAACAACUACAUUUAUGAUCUUUUGGAUGAAUCUCCGCUUGAUCCCACAAAACCAAAGUGGAACAACUGUGGCACUCCACUGCGGAAUGCUGACUUCACGUUUCCUCAAUCCAAAAUUCUCCGUGAGGAUCAAAAUCACAACAUGUAUGUUGCAGGUUGCACUGAGGUAGAAGUUAAAUCUACAGAAGAAGCCUUUGAAGUGUUUUGGAGAGGCCAAAAGAAGAGGCGCAUUGCACAUACUCAACUGAAUCGAGAAUCUAGUCGUUCCCACAGUGUAUUUCUAAUUAAACUGGCUCAGGCUCCUCUCAAUGCAGAUGGAGAUAAUGUUCUGCAGGAGAAAGAGUUAAUAUCCUUGAGCCAGUUAUCCCUGGUUGACCUAGCAGGGAGUGAGAGAACAAACAGGACCAAAGCCGAAGGAAACAGACUCCGUGAGGCUGGUAAUAUCAAUCAAUCACUGAUGACAUUAAGAACCUGUAUAGAAGCUUUGCGAGAGAAUCAAACUUAUGGAACCAAUAAGAUGGUCCCUUAUCGAGACUCCAAAUUGACUCAUCUUUUUAAGAAUUAUUUUGAUGGUGAGGGUAAAGUCCGUAUGAUUGUCUGCGUGAAUCCAAAGGCAGAAGACUAUGAUGAGAGUUUGCAAGUCAUGAGAUUUGCAGAAAUCACCCAAGAAGUAGAGGUUGCACGACCUGCUGACAAACCUCUGUGUGGACUAACUCCCGGUCGGCGAUUUAAGAACGAGGCUUUCAGAGAGGAGCUCUCCCGACAGCUGGAAAUCCGAGGUGGACCAGUUGAUGGAGACAGAGGCCCCUUGGUCAGAGAAUUGCUCCUGCAGAACUUCCCUCCAGUGCCUUCCUGUGAACUUCUGGACAUCAAUGAUGACCAGACCCUGCCUCGGCUGAUUGAAGUGCUUGAAAAGCGGCACCACAUUCGGCAGAAUCUGUCAGAAGAGUUUGCCAAAAAUGUUCUAUGUGUAAAGAACAUGUUGCAAGAACUUGAUGCCAGCAUUGUAUCCAAGGAGAACUUUGCACAAGUGAAAAUAGCUGAAAGAGAAAAAAUUAUAACAGGACAGAAAACUGAGAUUGAGCGACUAGAGAAGAAAGCAAGAACUCUGGAAUAUAAGAUUGACAUCCUGGAGAAAACAACAGCAAUUUAUGAAGAAGAGAAGCGCAACCUGCAGCAGGAACUAGAAAGCAAAAGUCAAAAGCUGCAGCGUCAGGUUUCAGACAAGCGUCGACUAGAAGCUCGUUUACAGGGCAUGGUGACAGAGACGACAAUGAAAUGGGAAAAGGAAUGUGAGCGGCGUGUGGCAGCCAAGCAACUGGAGAUGCAGAAUAAACUUUGGGUGAAAGAUGAGAAACUAAAGCAGCUCAAAGCCAUUGUCACAGAGCCUAAGAGUAACAAACCUGAGAGGCCUUCCCGGGAAAAGGAUCGGGAGAAAGCUCUACAAAGAUCAUUGUCUCCUCCCCCAGUACCUUUUUCCAGUAACUGUAUCCCUCACCUGCCUAACAACUAUGAUCCUCCUGCCAGAAGCCAGCCAAAGCUGCAUAGGCGUUCAAAUUCUUGUAGCAGCAUUUCCGUGGCUUCCUGCAUCUCGGAGUGGGAGCAGAGAACACCUACUCAGCACAGCAAGCCUCCUGACAAGGGUGACAAUGGCCUCCUUAGAGCCAGGAGUAGACUGCAGGAGCCAGAACAAACCAGGCCCUGGGUUAUGUCAGAGAGAAGACGGGGCAUGUGCUGGACAGGACUUCUGGCAGCUUCCAGCACUAGAGGGCCCCUAGAGCUAGAAGAGGACUUGUGCUGCAGGAAUGCUCCUCCUGUUCGCCUUCGUCACAGACGGUCUCGCUCAGCAGGAGAGAGGUGGGUGGAUCAUAAACCUCCUUCCAAUAUCCAGACCGAAACAGUCAUGCAGCCACAAGUCCCCCAUGCCAUCAUGGUAACCUCUGCAAACGAGAAGGCACUGGCAAAGUGUGACAAAUACAUGCUGACCCACCAGGAGCUGGCCUCGGAUGGGGAGAUUGAGACAAAGCUGAUCAAGGGUGAUGUUUUCAAGACCAGAGGAGGUGGACAAGCUGUUCAGUUCACUGAAAUAGAGACCUUGAAACAAGAGUCACCAACAGGACGCAAGCGGCGAUCGUCUCCCUCAAGCCCUCGCCCCCCUGAGGAGGCUUCCGAGUCAGAAUGGACUGAUGUAGAAACACGGUGUUCAGUCGCAGUGGAGAUGAAAGCAGGUUCCCACCUUGGGCCUGGCUAUCAACAUCAUGCUCAGCCCAAAUAAGUGCUGGCUAUGCUGUGGAAGUGAUCUGUUCAGCUCAGGGAAGAACGCUGACAGUUGUGCAAGGCAGGAAAGAGGGCAUCCGAGACGCAGGAAACCCUGAAGCUUUGAGAUUUCUGCUGGAAACUUUUUCAAAUAAAGUUUCAGGCUACAUAGCUGGCUAUGCUAGAAAGUGACAAAAGGGAAAUUAAAUAAAAAGUGCCUCUCUUGAUCCUCAUCUACAUCAUGACUUUGAGGAAGAUGGUGACUUCAUUUUAUUAUUUUAUGCAUUUCUCUGUCUCCUUGCAAAGUUUUUACUCCAUUUUUCUUCUUGUACUUCAACACUUGUUUCCAUGCCUGCUUUUAGGGGACAAUGUAUUAGACUGUUGCUAUUUAUUUGUCAUCAUGCACUUUAGUAUCUCUGGGUAGUGUUUUGAAUUUUGCAUUUAGAAAGAGCUGUCUUUUGGGUUUCCUUUAAAACCCAGGAGCUUUCCCCAGGAACGUUGUAUAUAGGAGACAGCUUUGUUUCCUGUCUUAUAAUUGAGCUAAUAGGAAGAUUCUUUGCUAUACAGAAUUUCAGUGUAUUCACGAUGAUUAGAAACUUUGUAGUGACAGAUCCACAGCUGUUGUGACUUUUUCAACUGAAUUUGCAAAUAAAAAAUUCAUAGCUUUCUACAUUCAGUGCCCUUUCUGAUCUGCCCUGGCCAUAUUAAGAGGAAGGAUCUCCAUUUAUUCAGAGCAUGGAACGGGUCCUGUUCCUUUCACACUCAUUCUGUGUAAACACAUUCUGAAGGCCAAAAUAUUCACAAGUUUAUGCAAUGAAAAAGUUUUAAAACUUCAGGUAGCAUCCACAAGCCACACCAUUGAAAGGAAUUGUAACUGUGCUGCUGCCAUUGUUACGAGGGAGACCUUCUGUGUGAACCAAUCUCCCAUUUGGAUGCAGCCUCCUCUUGUCCCUGACACAGAUGCCCAGGCUCUCUGCCCCCAAGGCUUGAUAGGGAGAUAGGUUUGAGAGUGAUGUGUAGUCCUCCUAAUAGGGAACUUGAAUCUCAAAGGUUCUCUACUUUGCCUUGAAAAACAACUGAUGGCCCAGUUGAAGACUGCCAUUUUGUAAUCUUUCUAGUUGCUCCAAUCUCAGUAGAAGACUAGAUCAGGUAACCCAACGGUCGCCAACAGGGCUCCGGCCUGUUCAAAACAGGCUGCAGUAGAGAUGGGCAAGCAUGUGUAAAUGAAGCUCGAUUCGUGCAAGCCAAGGGGACUUACGCUGCACACACAGCUUCCAUUCGUGCGAAUAGCUGAAACAACUGAUGAAAUGCUUGUUUGGGUUAUUUCUAUUAAAUACAAUCUUUAAACUAUU